RNAcentral lists this ribosomal RNA (254 nucleotides) under uncultured bacterium. Its description in RNAcentral is "partial 16S ribosomal RNA". It matches the Rfam family "Bacterial small subunit ribosomal RNA", at positions 524 to 776 of the family's 1533-position model. The record is from RNAcentral.
CACGUAGGGGGCGAGCGUUGUCCGGAUUUAUUGGGCGUAAAGAGCUCGUAGGCGGUUUCGUAAGUCGGAUGUGAAAACUCCAGGCUCAACUUGGAGACGCCAUUCGAUACUGCGAUGACUUGAGUCCGGUAGGGGAGUGUGGAAUUCCUGGUGUAGCGGUGAAAUGCGCAGAUAUCAGGAGGAACACCGGCGGCGAAGGCGGCACUCUGGGCCGGUACUGACGCUAAGGCGCGAAAGCGUGGGGAGCGAACAGG